Molecule: long non-coding RNA, 2112 nt
Filed under: Vulpes vulpes (red fox)
Lineage: Eukaryota; Metazoa; Chordata; Mammalia; Carnivora; Canidae
Description: lncRNA (ENSVVUG00000025680.1)
Source: RNAcentral
GUUUAUUAAUUUUUUUUAAAGAUUUUAUUUGUUUAUUCAUGAGAGACAGGGAGAGAGGCAGAGACACAGGCAGAGAGAGAAGCAGGCUCUAUGCAGGGAGCCCGAUGUGGGACUCAAUCCCACAUCCCCGGGAUCAUGCCUUGAGCUGAAGGUAGAUGCCCAAUCACCAAGCCACCCAGGUGUCCCAGAUUUGCGAUGUUUAAGAAGCAUCUCCACACUUAGCAAUUCCCUGUUUCUUACCUUCCCUGCUUUUCUCAGUGCUGGGGAUGUCCCUGGCUUCUUUCUUCCCGAUCCUGCCUACUUGGGAGUCUGUUCCAGAAGCUUCUUCUCUGUGUGGGGCUCGCCUGAGGGGAGGCUUCUGAGCUGGUCCUGCUGGGCUGCCUACCAGGGGCCCAGACUGGGAGGCUCACAUAAGCAGCAUUUGUUUUCUCCCAGCCAUGAAGGUCAGGGUCCAAGGUCAAGAUUCUGCAGGAUUUGGCCUCUGCUGGCGCACAGCCAGCCCUGUGUCCUCCCACAGCCUCCCUGGGAGUGCACUGCAGGGGAGAGCCGGCUCUGUCUCAGGCCACCAGUCCUGUCUCAUUGGAGCUCCGCCUAUGUGACCUCCCUGCUGACCCAGCUCCAAGCCAGCCAUCCUGGGGCCGGGGCCUUCCGCGUGGGGUCCUGGGGGGCAUGGACAUGCAGUUCCCACAGCUCCUUAGUUGAGGUACUCUGGCGGAGGGAAAAUAUGCCACCACCGCCAACCCCGCCCCACAUCAUCCUCUCAAGUCCGACCCAGGAAGCAUCACCGCCGGAGCACUGGCACUGAGGUGAAUGCUGCUGACACUUAACCACCAAAUGACGGAAGUGUGGGGUCAGAGGAACGUGUGGAAUCACACUGUUGAGAUUUAGCCAGCAAAGCCCAGAAUACGGGAAACUCAACAGAACAAUCGACUUCCUCCAAGGGGGAUAUUAUGGCAUAGAUGGAGUCCCGGGAUGAAUAUGGACCGGAAUCAACCCGGGUACCUCGCCUGGUGUCGGUUUCGGUCACUCUGAGCAGAAGAGCCAGGCAGCUGAAGAAGCUCCAGGUGGACGGACGGCCACAUGUGCGACUCUGAGGAACUGCUGUGGAUCUCUUUUGAUGUCACACAUUUUUUGAAAGUCUUUCUCUGCAAAUGGACGUUUCUGUCCUGAAAGACGAAGAGUCCCCAUCAGCCCUUGGCCCACCAGGCUCGGCGCUCCCCCCAUUGGGGACCACAAGGUGGGCAACUUCCUAACUGGUCACCCCUCCUCUGUUGGUUAGCUGUGACUCUGGUAAGGAUUGACUACUCUUCAUCACCCAUUUGGUUGCCCUGGAAAGUGGUCUAUAGGGACGGGCAGGAUAAAUACUGAUUCUUGUCCUUUAUCAGGUUCUUGGGUAGUGAUCUGAUGCCCUCCAGAACUGACCAGCGAGAUUGUUUUUGUUUGUAGCAUCAUCAUGCUUGCAUGUAUUUCUAUAUAUCUGGUGUGCCUCCAUAUGGAGUCACUGUUUUCUUCAUUGAUGGUCAAAUUGUGCUCUCUCUGGCCAGUCGGGACCCCAUUAAGGGCAUUCCAUGUUGGUAAGGACCCUUUUCUCUCUCUCUCUCUCUCUCUCUCUUUUUUAAAGAUUUUAUUUAUUUAUUUGUGAGAGACAGAGACAGGGAGAGAGAGAGAGAGAGAGAGAGAGAGAGAGAGAGAGAGNNNNNNNNAGAGACACAGGAGGGAGAAGCAGGCUCCAUGCAGGAAGCCAGACGCGGGACUCCAUCCCCGGUCUCCAGGAUCUCGCCCUGGGCUGAAGGUGGUGCUAAACCACUGAGCCACCAGGGCUGCCUCUUUUCUCUUUUAAUAGCAUUUUUGCUAGGUGUGACAAUGCCCUGGGGUCAUCUUCUACCUUUCCUGCUUUAGACCCAGCAGCAAAAAUUUCCCCAGGAAGCUCUGGAGGAAUGCUAUGUAGAGGCCAGAUUCUGGGUGUUGGGGACCCUUGUCCUUACAGUUGGUUCUUAGGUCUAGCCUUGUUUGAUAGAGACAGGAAAUAUGUAUUUUCUGAAGGGAAAAAUUAAAUCAGUCCAUACUGUUACUUUCAAUAAAAGCAUAUUUUGUACUCCUUUGACUUUGUGU